UGCCAGCCGCCGCGGUAAUACGGAGGGUGCAAGCGUUAUCCGGAAUCAUUGGGUUUAAAGGGUCCGUAGGCGGGCUAAUAAGUCAGGGGUGAAAUACCACAGCUCAACUGUGGAACUGCCUUUGAUACUGUUAGUCUUGAGUUGUAUGGAAGUAGAUAGAAUGUGUAGUGUAGCGGUGAAAUGCUUAGAGAUUACACAGAAUACCGAUUGCGAAGGCAGUCUACUACGUAUAUACUGACGCUAAUGGACGAAAGCGUGGGGAGCGAACAGGAUUAGAUA
RNAcentral lists this ribosomal RNA (279 nucleotides) under uncultured bacterium. Its description in RNAcentral is "partial 16S ribosomal RNA". It matches the Rfam family "Bacterial small subunit ribosomal RNA", at positions 506 to 784 of the family's 1533-position model. The record is from RNAcentral.